AUUGAACGCUGGCGGCAUGCCUUACACAUGCAAGUCGAACGGUAACAGGUUAAGCUGACGAGUGGCGAACGGGUGAGUAAUAUAUCGGAACGUGCCCAGUCGUGGGGGAUAACUGCUCGAAAGAGCAGCUAAUACCGCAUACGACCUGAGGGUGAAAGCGGGGGAUCGCAAGACCUCGCGCGAUUGGAGCGGCCGAUAUCAGAUUAGGUAGUUGGUGGGGUAAGAGCCCACCAAGCCAACGAUCUGUAGCUGGUCUGAGAGGACGACCAGCCACACUGGGACUGAGACACGGCCCAGACUCCUACGGGAGGCAGCAGUGGGGAAUUUUGGACAAUGGGCGCAAGCCUGAUCCAGCCAUGCCGCGUGCGGGAAGAAGGCCUUCGGGUUGUAAACCGCUUUUGUCAGGGAAGAAAAGGUUCUGGUUAAUACCUGGGACUCAUGACGGUACCUGAAGAAUAAGCACCGGCUAACUACGUGCCAGCCGCCGCCGUAA
This 493-nucleotide ribosomal RNA is filed under the name uncultured bacterium. RNAcentral's name for it is "partial 16S ribosomal RNA". It matches the Rfam family "Bacterial small subunit ribosomal RNA", at positions 30 to 523 of the family's 1533-position model. The record is from RNAcentral.